This 398-nucleotide ribosomal RNA is filed under the name uncultured bacterium. RNAcentral's name for it is "bacterial SSU rRNA". It matches the Rfam family "Bacterial small subunit ribosomal RNA", at positions 362 to 776 of the family's 1533-position model. The record is from RNAcentral.
UAUUGCACAAUGGGGGGAACCCUGAUGCAGCGACGCCGCGUGGGUGAAGGAGCGUUUCGGCGCGUAAAGCCCUAUCGGCAGGGAAGAAGGAGGACGGUACCUGAGUAAGAAGCCCCGGCUAACUACGUUCCAGCAGCCGCGGUAAUACGUAGGGGGCAAGCGUUAUCCGGAUUUACUGGGUGUAAAGGGAGCGUAGACGGUUGUAUAAGUCUGGAGUGAAAGCCCGGGGCCCAACCCCGGGACUGCUUUGGAAGCUGUGUAACUUGAGUACAGGAGGGGCAGGCGGAAUUCCUGGUGUAGCGGUGAAAUGCGUAGAUAUCAGGAGGAACACCGGCGGCGAAGGCGGCCUGCUGGACUGAAACUGACGUUGAGGCUCGAAAGCGUGGGGAGCAAACAGG